GUAUCAGUGGUUCAGUGGUAGAAUUCCCACCUUCUAUGUGGAGACCCAAGUUCAAUUCCCGGCCAAUGCA
This 70-nucleotide transfer RNA is filed under the name Loxodonta africana (African savanna elephant). It matches the Rfam family "tRNA". From Rfam's summary of the family: Transfer RNA (tRNA) molecules are approximately 80 nucleotides in length. Lineage: Eukaryota; Metazoa; Chordata; Mammalia; Proboscidea; Elephantidae. The record is from Rfam by way of RNAcentral.